UACAGAGGUCCCAAGCGUUGUUCGGAUUUACUGGGCGUAAAGGGUGCGUAGGCGGUCGAGUAAGUCUGACGUGAAAUCUCCAAGCUCAACUUGGAAAUGGCGUCGGAUACUAUUCGGCUUGAGGAGUGGAGGGGAGACUGGAAUUCUCGGUGUAGCAGUGAAAUGCGUAGAUAUCGAGAGGAACACCAGUGGCGAAGGCGAGUCUCUGGACACUUCCUGACGUUGAGGCACGAAAGCCAGGGGAGCAAACGGG
This 253-nucleotide ribosomal RNA is filed under the name uncultured bacterium. RNAcentral's name for it is "partial 16S ribosomal RNA". It matches the Rfam family "Bacterial small subunit ribosomal RNA", at positions 524 to 776 of the family's 1533-position model. The record is from RNAcentral.